Molecule: ribosomal RNA, 507 nt
Filed under: Rhagoletis cingulata
Lineage: Eukaryota; Metazoa; Arthropoda; Insecta; Diptera; Tephritidae
Description: partial 28S large subunit ribosomal RNA
Rfam family: Eukaryotic large subunit ribosomal RNA
Source: RNAcentral
CCUCCGAAGUUUCCCUCAGGAUAGCUGGUGCAUUUUANAAUUAUGUAAAAUAAUCUUAUCUGGUAAAGCGAAUGAUUAGAGGCCUUAGGGUCGAAACGACCUUAACCUAUUCUCAAACUUUNAAUGGGUAAGAACCUAACCUUUCUUGAUAUGAAGGNUCAGGUUNUGAUAUAAUGUGCCCAGUGGGCCACUUUUGGUAAGCANAACUGGCGCUGUGGGAUGAACCAAACGUAAUGUUACGGUGCCUAAAUUUACAACUCGUGCANAUACCAUGAAAGGCGUUGGUUGCUNAAAACAGCAGGACGGUGGACAUGGAAGUCGUAAUCCGCUAAGGAGUGUGUAACAACUCACCUGCCGAAGCAACUAGCCCUUAAAAUGGAUGGCGCUUANGUUGUAUNCCUAUACAUUACCGCUAAAGUACAUGANUUAUAAUACANUUUCGGUUGUUUUUNUANNUUUUGAAACUUUAGGGAGUAGGAGGGUACAAUGGUGUGCUUAAAAGUGUUU